Molecule: ribosomal RNA, 470 nt
Filed under: uncultured bacterium
Lineage: Bacteria
Description: partial 16S ribosomal RNA
Rfam family: Bacterial small subunit ribosomal RNA
Source: RNAcentral
GACGAACGCUGGCUGCGUGCUUAACACAUGCAAGUCGAACGCUGAAGCCCCAGCUUGCUGGGGUGGAUGAGUGGCGAACGGGUGAGUAACACGUGAGUAACCUGCCCCUGACUUCGGGAUAAGCCCGGGAAACUGGGUCUAAUACCGGAUACGACUAUCGGACGCAUGUCUGGUGGUGGAAAGUUUUUUCGGUUGGGGAUGGGCUCGCGGCCUAUCAGUUUGUUGGUGAGGUAAUGGCUCACCAAGACGACGACGGGUAGCCGGCCUGAGAGGGCGACCGGCCACACUGGGACUGAGACACGGCCCAGACUCCUACGGGAGGCAGCAGUGGGGAAUAUUGCACAAUGGGGGAAACCCUGAUGCAGCGACGCAGCGUGCGGGAUGACGGCCCUCGGGUUGUAAACCGCUUUCAGCAGGGAAGAAGCCUUCGGGUGACGGUACCUGCAGAAGAAGUACCGGCUAACUACGUG